AUGACCCCUAUUGGUCCCAAUGGCUAUGCUGAAAUGACAUGUCAAAAGGAAAGAGUUGGUUUGUCGCAAAAAGGGAAAGAGCUGGUGGAGGGGAUGACCCCCUCGCAAGCUCCAGGUCGUCAAAAUUGCCGCUCCAUAGCCAAACCAAUGAUGAAGGACCAAGAACACUGUGGUCUAGACUGUGAGAACCACUUGCUCCAUGGAGUAGACUGGGAUUGCUACUCUAGGCCGGAAAUAGAACCGGGAGACAUUUUAUUCGGGAUUUGGCAGAUGCGGUCGGAUAUGAUGCACGGCAAAGAUAUUCCACCGUUGGAGACCUCUGUUGCCUCCCUCCAGAGCUACAUAAGUUCACUCAUGCUAUCAAAACGUUACACAGUAGAAGAGAUUAUUAAAGGGAAGAUGGCGUUGGCUGAUCCUGGAACUAAAGCCCCAAUGUUGACUCGUCAUGCUGCUCCUUGGCCGGCACCUUUGGCGGGUCAAGUGGCACUGUCGGUUGAUGGGUCAUACUCAGAAGUGGAUGGCACGGCGGCGGCUGAUAUGUCUACUGUUCGGGAGGGAGGAGAGAAGGAAGAAGCCGCUCCGCCAACGAGCAGUUCCUCACACUUCCGGGAGAAGAGAACCCAUCUCGGGCGACGUCUUCUGAGGUACAGUGUGUCCUGUCGCGCCCUCCGUUUCUCCGUCGUUUUUGGCGAUCCUUCUGUGAAAUUUCCCCGCGGCGGGGAACCGCGAUCGGCUCGAUCAGGGGUGAAUCUGGGUGGUGGGCGGGUUGAGGUCGCGGCUCCUAGGGUUUGGGGCGGCUAA
Molecule: ribosomal RNA, 801 nt
Filed under: Triticum aestivum (bread wheat)
Lineage: Eukaryota; Viridiplantae; Streptophyta; Magnoliopsida; Poales; Poaceae
Description: partial small subunit ribosomal RNA
Source: RNAcentral